This 1234-nucleotide long non-coding RNA is filed under the name Cyanistes caeruleus (blue tit). RNAcentral describes it as "lncRNA (ENSCCEG00000002604.1)". Lineage: Eukaryota; Metazoa; Chordata; Aves; Passeriformes; Paridae. The record is from RNAcentral.
GUUUGGGGGGCACGUCCCAGCCCGGCUCCCCGCAGGAGCUGCGGGGAAACUUCCACGGGAAACAGAGAGGCUGGGAACAACGGGGCAGAGGAACCCACUUCACCCAGUGCUCCAGGGACGGGUGCCAGGGUCCCCAUGCCCAGGGAAGCCUUUUGCUUCCCGGCAUCCCGAGAUUGUCCAGCAGAGCCCCAGAGCAGUCACGGCUGUGAGUGCCGGGAGCGAGGGCUCGCUUUGCUCUGCAGCUGGUUGAAGAUGUCUGGGCUGCACCUCACAUCUGCCAGGACAAGAUGUUAACCUACCCCCACGGGCAUGGCUGCUCUCUAAAAUGAUGUCAGUGAGGCUGAAUGAAGAUAUUAGCUGUCUCCACAACUCCUUCCUGCCUUACACCUUGAUCCCAGAAUGUCCUGGCAGUGGAGGGAAGCUGCCUGGUGGACGGGGCCAGGGAUGUUGGGCUGCACCACCUGGCCCUGCUCCCUCCAGCACACACCCUGGUGUGGGGUGAAAUCCCCUCUGUGAUGUCCAGCAGUGGUGGUGGGACUCUCUCCUGUCACAGCCAAGCUCCCUGAUUUGCAUUCCCAGAGAAAGGCCUGCAGGUGAUGAAAGGGUUAAGACAGAUGUGCACAUCUGCAAUCUUCAACACCCAGAGGACUCCCUUUCCCACGAACAGCCCCUGCACAGCCUGCAAGCCCAGGGCUACUACUUGUACUCCCUUUUGGACCUGUUACCAGCACCACCAGCCUCUGCCACGCUCCUGCACCUGAUGCAAGCCCCGCCACCCGUGCCAGUGGCACCCCUGCUCUGUCUCCUGCCUGUGGCUCUAGCGUGGCUGUCACUUUCCCUCUCUGCUUCCAUCCCACCAGGCGUGGCAGAUCUUCCUGCACGCAGCACAGCCACCACACAUCAGGCUGGCAGCAGCCCCUCCCCACCACGCUGGGCUGGCAGCACUCCUCCUGAGAUGCCCAGCAGGGCUGGCACAGGCUGCUCUGCAAAUGAUGGGUGCUGAGGGGAGGCAAGACCCACAUCCCCCCACUUCAGCAAGUACCACAAAUACCAAUUUCUGAGAAACCUCCACCCAGCACCCCGGCAGGAAACCCAACCUCAAUCUGCUUACGCUGCAGCUGCAUGCAGAUUUCUGCCAGAUUACACCACUUUUUAUGACUUAUUAAAGCUUUAACCCCUAUCAAUGGGCAUUAGUGUUUUAAUCUCUCUAAUCUCCAGGAAAAUCCAAUGCUAG